ACGGGAGGCAGCAGUGGGGAAUAUUGCACAAUGGGGGAAACCCUGAUGCAGCGACGCCGCGUGAAGGAAGAAGUAUCUCGGUAUGUAAACUUCUAUCAGGAGGGAAGAUAAUGACGGUACCUGACUAAGAAGCCCCGGCUAACUACGUGCCAGCAGCCGCGGUAAUACGUAGGGGGCAAGCGUUAUCCGGAUUUACUGGGUGUAAAGGGAGCGUAGACGGACUGGCAAGUCUGAUGUGAAAGGCUGGGGCUCAACCCCGGGACUGCAUUGGAAACUGUCAGUCUUGAGUGCCGGGGGGGUAAGCGGAAUUCCUAGUGUAGCGGUGAAAUGCGUAGAUAUUAGGAGGAACACCAGUGGCGAAGGCGGCUUACUGGACGGUAACUGACGCUGAGGCGCGAAAGCGUGGGGAGCAAACAGGAUUAGAUACCCUGGUA
This 434-nucleotide ribosomal RNA is filed under the name uncultured Blautia sp. RNAcentral describes it as "bacterial SSU rRNA". It matches the Rfam family "Bacterial small subunit ribosomal RNA", at positions 341 to 792 of the family's 1533-position model. Lineage: Bacteria; Bacillati; Bacillota; Clostridia; Lachnospirales; Lachnospiraceae. The record is from RNAcentral.